Molecule: non-coding RNA, 1620 nt
Organism: Musa acuminata subsp. malaccensis (wild Malaysian banana)
Lineage: Eukaryota; Viridiplantae; Streptophyta; Magnoliopsida; Zingiberales; Musaceae
Source: RefSeq, a predicted model, not a curated record
GGUACCCCUUUCAGGUCAUUUUCCUCUCCCACGAUGGCGGCUGCGACGCUGCGCUCCGUACUCCGCCGCAAUCGCCUCCUUCCCUUGUUCGAAACCUGCCGCCUUCGAGAUCGCCUCUUCUUCUCCUCCUCUGUCGACGCUGCCGCCGUCACCGUAGGCGGCACCAUGUCUCCAGAUCCCCACUUCAUGGUGGAAUACCUCGUGAACUCCUGCGGGUUCUCCUCCUCCGAGGCAGCCAAGUUCUCUAAAUCCCUUGCGCACCUCCGAUCCACCGAGAAACCCGACGACGUCCUUAACUUCAUGAGAUCUCAGGGCUUCGACGGCGCCGGUAUCAGGAAGGUGAUAUCUGCGGAUCCCAGAUACUUAUGCUACAACGUGGAGAAGAACCUCGCCCCGAAGUUUCAGUUCUUACGCGAUUUGGGCCUAUCAGAGUCGGAUAUCGUCGAUGCCAUCCUGAAGAACAAUGGCAUCCUCCACUACAACGUUCACCGUUACUUGGUCCCCAAAUUGGAGAUGUGGGAAAGUCUCUUGGGAUCGAGAGAGCUCGUUCUCAAGCAUCUCAAGAAGACCCGAUGGUUUUUCUCCUCCAGCGUUGAGAAGACGUUGCAUCCUAACCUAAAGUUCUUGAGGGAUGAGUGCGGCAUUCCUGAAGAAAGGCUCUCUCUCGUCUUGAGAAGUCACCCAAAAUUAAUCUCACAGAAACCAGAGUCUCUCCGAGCUUUGGUUGCGAGAGCCGAUGAGCUGGGGAUGCCACGGCAAUCUCGGAUGUUCGUGCGGACACUUGUUGCUCUCCACAACGUAAGCCAAGAAAGGUUCGAGGCCAAGGUCGAGCUCAUGAGGAGCUUCGGGUGGUCGGAGUCGGAGUUUUCUUCUGCAGUCAGGAAAGCACCCACCUUCUUAGGCAUCUCCCUCGAUAUGUUUCGCAGAAAAGUGGAAUUUUUUAUCAAUGUGGUCGGUUACACCCCUUCCUUCAUCGCCUCCCAACCAUCUAUCUUGCUAUUUAGUCUGCAGAAGAGGGUAAUUCUUCGGUUUCGUGUCACAGAGAUGUUGAAAUCGAAAGGAUUGUGGACUGGACAAGCCAAGUUUCCAUACAUUCUCGCAUUAUCAGAUACCAAAUUCUUGGAGAAGUUUGUUCUCCCUCACGAAGAAAAUGUUCCUGAGCUGCUCGAUAUUUUGAGAGUUGAUGGCGUGUGUAAAGGAAAAUGAUACCUUUCAUUUGGUAUCGGAGGCUGAGAAAGGGCUUAGCUGAUGGUCUAAUUUGCCAACAAAGGUGCAGAUCUCUUCAUUCUUGGAGUUCAUUCUUGGAUUUGGUGGAUGCAACUUCUCAUCAUCAUAGCUGAAGCUUCUGGUCUACUUGAAAGCCUUCAGAAGGCUGCACAACUAAAUUUCUCCAACAUCUGAAUCGAACUAAUUCCCUUGAGUUAGUCGAUUCGCUGGUUCCUUCUUUUAUUUCUUUGUUCAAGUCUUUAUGUUGUCGAUGUGGUCCAUGUUUCCCGCAUCAUGAAAGGCGUGGGCCAUUGGCUAGUCAAUCUUGGAAGGACUGUAAAUUCUGUCUUUUUGGUUCUUGUAAUAAUAGAUCAAUCUAGCUCGGUAUCUAAUCCACUUUAAUCUUUAAUGAAA